Molecule: long non-coding RNA, 1057 nt
Organism: Drosophila teissieri
Lineage: Eukaryota; Metazoa; Arthropoda; Insecta; Diptera; Drosophilidae
Exons: 2
Source: RefSeq, a predicted model, not a curated record
UUUUUUUAUAAACAGUUCGUGCUGAAGAGCGCCUUAUAGGUAAUAUCUGUGAAGCCGGGUACUACAGCAAAAAUCAGCUUAAAAAAUCAAUUAUACCAUAUGUUUGAACCCUUAAAAGAUUAAAUACCGAUUCAGUUACUACAGGUAAAGUUAUACAACUUAUAAAAAUCAAAGAUCAAAUGUCGAAGUAGGUCUGGAAUUAAAGCUUACUUAUCCAGCAACUCACUUUUAAAAUUGAUCUAAUUUUAACUGAGAACUCCUAUCGAUAUUUUGAACACUUCAAAACAAUACAUUGAAAAUAAAUUCAAAACAAUAAAUUACUUGUGGAGAAAAUUGAUUUCUUGAAAAGGCUGCAGGUUCUAAUGAUGCUGUGUUGUCUGCUUACAGCAGUUUGUGCUGCAUUUCCGUGGGCGCUUUCCACAUAAAUUAAAACUGCAAAUUUUUGUGUUGGCGCAUUUGGCAACAAUUCAACAAAACAGAACAAAACAACAAACAGCAAAGUUCAGAUCGCAUCACCAACAAAUAAAUUUCCACCGAGCUAAACACAAUGGACGGUGGCAACCAAAUCCGAAGUCGAAAUGGCUGCACAAACUGACAAACGGGCGGACGGAGGUAGCGGCUCGGCAACCUCGGAGCAGAGACAACUGAAACUGAAUCAAUGGAACUAUCCAUCAAUCAAUCAACCGCAAAUGAAUUUAAUUUCCAAGCACAAAAGGCUGCGGCUGCACAAGUAAUAGCCAAACAGCCCAAUUGACCUGGAUGAAUUGCGACAUUUUCAAAUGGAGCUCGCCUGGCAGUUCACUAUUGCAAGGAGUAAUUACGAUGUCCUUUAACUUUUCACUCGUCCACUGCCGGUCGGGCACUUGGGUAUAACUUGGAAAAGAACUAUGUCCGGUCCAAAUCCCUUCCCGGAUGUGAGCCGCAGCUAACGAUUACACUGUAUCACUGUCGCCUGUCUGUUUUUGUUUUCUUACACUUAUGGAAACCCAAAUCUUCUCAAACAGGAACUCGAACGCGCGAACGAGCAACUUGAAUAUGAUUGUGAAUAUUUCUCAGA